GACGAACGCUGGCGGCGUGCUUAACACAUGCAAGUCGAACGGAAAGGCCCUGCUUUUGUGGGGUGCUCGAGUGGCGAACGGGUGAGUAACACGUGAGUAACCUGCCCUUGACUUUGGGAUAACUUCAGGAAACUGGGGCUAAUACCGGAUAGGAGCUCCUGCUGCAUGGUGGGGGUUGGAAAGUUUCGGCGGUUGGGGAUGGACUCGCGGCUUAUCAGCUUGUUGGUGGGGUAGUGGCUUACCAAGGCUUUGACGGGUAGCCGGCCUGAGAGGGUGACCGGCCACAUUGGGACUGAGAUACGGCCCAGACUCCUACGGGAGGCAGCAGUGGGGAAUCUUGCACAAUGGGCGGAAGCCUGAUGCAGCAACGCCGCGUGCGUGAUGACGGCCUUCGGGUUGUAAACCGCUUUCGCCUGUGACGAAGCGUGAGUGACGGUAAUGGGUAAAGAAGCACCGGCUAACUACGUG
RNAcentral lists this ribosomal RNA (468 nucleotides) under uncultured bacterium. RNAcentral's name for it is "partial 16S ribosomal RNA". It matches the Rfam family "Bacterial small subunit ribosomal RNA", at positions 28 to 507 of the family's 1533-position model. The record is from RNAcentral.